UUGGCUUUUAGGUCUGCUCAGCCCUGCGGCUGAUGCUCUCUGAGCUUCCAGCUCCCCAUGCUUCGAACACAUCACAGAGCCAUAUUCCAUCCCCACAGGAGGAGGAGGAGGAGGCGGAACCAGGCUGCAGGGAUGCAAAAAUGCAGAGGAGAGCGAGGCAGGCAGGCUGGGAAGGACAGCUUUGCUGAGCCUCGGAGAAAACACUGAGUAAUUAUCAGUGAGGAGUCCAGAAUGAUUGGCGACAGACUUCUCCUCUGCCUCUUCACACUGCUGUGCUUGCCCUUCAGCCCCCCGCAGCCCCCUGCCCGGCAGCCAGCAGCACCCUGUGCUGAGCACAGAGGCCUGGAUGAACUGGCAGGGGCAGGGCACACUGCUGCCAUCCAUGUGCCCUGUGGCCACAGGACGGGGCAGGCGGCCGCUGACCAGCAGCCGCACAUAGCAGGCACUGAAGAUCACCAGGAGCUGCUGGGCCAUCACCUGGAACGAGCACGAGAGGGUCAGUGUCUGCCUCAUUCAAACACUGCUCUUGCCCAACAGAAUCAGGACAGAAGCCAAGGACGGAUACAUAACUGUUCCACAUCCCCUUCUGGUCAGCAGUGCUUGCACGCUGCCCCCCAGGACAGUGACAUGUCAGGCUGGGGGCAGGCAGCAUGGCCAGCCCAGGGCUGGGGGCUGCAGGGAUGGGGUGGCAGGGAGCCAGGC
This 702-nucleotide long non-coding RNA is filed under the name Gallus gallus (chicken). Its description in RNAcentral is "long non-coding RNA NONGGAT003058". Lineage: Eukaryota; Metazoa; Chordata; Aves; Galliformes; Phasianidae. The record is from RNAcentral.